RNAcentral lists this ribosomal RNA (393 nucleotides) under uncultured bacterium. Its description in RNAcentral is "partial 16S ribosomal RNA". It matches the Rfam family "Bacterial small subunit ribosomal RNA", at positions 523 to 918 of the family's 1533-position model. The record is from RNAcentral.
AUACGGAAGGUCCGGGCGUUAUCCGGAUUUAUUGGGUUUAAAGGGAGCGCAGGCGGAGAUGCAAGCGUGACGUCAAAUUUCGGGGCUCAACCCCGUCUCGCGUCGCGAACUGCGUCCCUUGGUUGCGGGAAGGGGAGGCGGAACUCGUGGUGUAGCGGUGAAAUGCAUAGAUAUCACGAAGAACUCCGAUCGCGAAGGCAGCCUUCCGGACCGUCAACGACGCUCAUGCUCGAAGGUGCGGGUAUCAAACAGGAUUAGAUACCCUGGUAGUCCGCACAGUAAACGAUGGACACCCGCGGUUUGGCCUGUAUGGCUGAGCCGCCAAGCGAAAGCGUUAAGUGUCCCACCUGGGGAGUACGCCGGCAACGGUGAAACUCAAAGGAAUUGACGGGG